Molecule: small nucleolar RNA, 138 nt
Organism: Ornithorhynchus anatinus (platypus)
Lineage: Eukaryota; Metazoa; Chordata; Mammalia; Monotremata; Ornithorhynchidae
Source: RefSeq, a predicted model, not a curated record
ACCCUCUCAGGGUCGCACCUGGAGAGUUUCUAGUACUCUACUAGUCUUGGCUACUGGAAGGAGAGUCAAGCAGAGGCCUGUCCAUUCCAUUCUUAGCAUGGCCAGUGGCUAGCGAGUGGAAGGCAACCUGCUACAUAU